GGACCCGUAGUGUAGCCUGGAAACACGUCUCCUUGUCACGGAGAAGAUCACGGGUUCAAAUCCCGUCGGGUCCG
RNAcentral lists this transfer RNA (74 nucleotides) under Candidatus Jorgensenbacteria bacterium CG10_big_fil_rev_8_21_14_0_10_54_38. Its description in RNAcentral is "tRNA-Asp". It matches the Rfam family "tRNA". From Rfam's summary of the family: Transfer RNA (tRNA) molecules are approximately 80 nucleotides in length. Their secondary structure includes four short double-helical elements and three loops (D, anti-codon, and T loops). RNAcentral also lists the same sequence under 1 other name. The record is from RNAcentral. Lineage: Bacteria; Candidatus Joergenseniibacteriota.